GUCAUAAACCUUGUGUCAAAAUUUCAUAGAUUUCUAUUAACUUAAACUAAAGUUAUAGUGCGAAAACCAAGAAAAUGCUUAUUUGGGCCCUUUUUGGCCCCUAAUUCCUAAAAUGUUGGGACCAAAACUCCCAAAAUCAAUACCAACCUUCCUUUUGUGGUCAUAAACCUUGUGUUGAAAUUUCAUAGAUUUCCAUUCACUUUUACUAAAGUUAGAGUGCGAAAACUAAAAGUAUUCGGACGCCGGACGACGACGACGACGACGACGACGACGACGACGACGCCGACGCCAACGUGAUAGCAAUAUACGACGAAAAAUUUUUCAAAUUUUGCGGUCGUAUAAAAAGGCCUGACAAAACUGAAAUGUAAUGAAACUGCUUGUAGGCUGUUCUUCUUUUCAUGGCUCCCUCCAUCAAUAAAAACUGACCGCAAUGAAAUAGCACAAGUGUUGAAAGUGGCUUUGUGAUCAUUCAAUCUUCAUCUCAUGGUCUUAGAAUGCCUUCCAACAUAAAGCAAAAGCUCAUACCUAAUUGUUAGUUCAAGACAGUAUCUGGAAACUGUUUAAGCUUUAUUUUUUGCACAAAGAAAAAAAGAUCUCAUUGUAUGUGACAAAAAUAAAACCUACAUCAGUUUAAUGAACAUUUACAAUAUGUUCAGCUCAAAAUGCUUGGAUGCUACAACUAUACUUAGACAACCACUGACUUGGUUCUAGGCAUUGGACAAACAUCAAAAAAUGUGCCUAUUUGAACUAUUUGUAUUGCACUCAAAUUUCUCGUUGUAUUCUUGAUCAGUGGAAGGACAGACAUAAGGUACAUAGAAACAAAUCAAAACUCUACAAUACUGGUAAAGCAGACUACAAACACCCCAGAAAACAAAAAUUGUCAAUCAGACACCAUGUCAAGCUCACACUCGUCUUUUUUUUUUCUAUUUUGUUAAAAAAACAAACCUUUAUUUGGCUUGUUUACAUUAAGAUGAACACAUGUACUAUGUUUCUUAUUGAUGUGACCAUAACCAUAGGUUUAUGGCAAACUACAUCAACCUUAAUCAAAAACCUAAAACCUGAUGCAGGACAAAACUGAGUAUGCACAUACCAAAAA
This 1096-nucleotide long non-coding RNA is filed under the name Mytilus galloprovincialis (Mediterranean mussel). The record is from RNAcentral. Lineage: Eukaryota; Metazoa; Mollusca; Bivalvia; Mytilida; Mytilidae.